RNAcentral lists this ribosomal RNA (655 nucleotides) under Blastobotrys americanus. RNAcentral's name for it is "LSU rRNA". It matches the Rfam family "Eukaryotic large subunit ribosomal RNA", at positions 38 to 710 of the family's 3401-position model. The record is from RNAcentral. Lineage: Eukaryota; Fungi; Ascomycota; Dipodascomycetes; Dipodascales; Trichomonascaceae.
GCAUAUCAAUAAGCGGAGGAAAAGAAACCAACCGGGAUUGCCCUAGUAACGGCGAGCGAAGCGGCAAAAGUCCAAAUUUGAAAUCUGGCGUCCUACGGGCGUCCGAGUUGUAAUUUGAAGAUGGUAACUUUGGGUUUGGCUCUCGCAUAAGUCCCUUGGAACAGGGCGUCAUAGAGGGUGAGAAUCCCGUUCAUGGUGAGAUGCCCAUUCCUAUAUAAAGUGCCUUCGAAGAGUCGAGUUGUUUGGGAAUGCAGCUCUAAGUGGGUGGUAAAUUCCAUCUAAGACUAAAUAUUGGCGAGAGACCGAUAGCGAACAAGUACAGUGAUGGAAAGAUGAAAAGAACUUUGAAAAGAGAGUGAAAAAGUACGUGAAAUUGUUGAAAGGGAAGGGCUUGAAGUCAGACUUGGUAUUCAGUGAUCAACUGUCUCUUGGGACUGUGCACUCGCUGUUUACUGGGCCAACAUCAGUUUUGGCGGCAAGAUAAAGGUUUGGGAAUGUGACUCUUAGGAGUGUUAUAGCCCUUUCUAAUAUUGCCAGCUGGGACUGAGGUCUGCGCAUUUUUGCUAGGAUGUUGGCGUAAUGACUUUAAGCCACCCGUCUUGAAACACGGACCAAGGAGUCUAACGUCUAUGCAAGUGUUUGGGUGUUAAACCCG